CUAGUUUGGUCCUUCUGUUUCGUAGGAAUCUCUUGUUAAUAUCGAUUUUUAUCAUGUUUGCUUUAAUGAGUUUAUAUGAGAGCAUUACAGGGUCUCCUCUGUUUCCAUCGAACAGCACUGAGUAAGGAGUUGCACUGGCUUGAGCUCCUUCGCCUGCGACUGAGAAAUAAUGCGUGUUGGGGGCAUGGGUGAUGGGGCCAGGAGGGGUGUUCCCUUCGAAAUUGGACAGGUAGGUUUCCGGAGGAUUUCCACUCUUUGUGUUAACUGGACUGCGACGUUGUAUCUCGCUGCGUUUGAUGGAAGAGUUGGAAGGAAUGUCAUGAAGUAUUUGAAGGUUAUUGUCAG
This is a non-coding RNA of Paramuricea clavata, 345 nucleotides long. NCBI's taxonomy places the organism in Eukaryota, Metazoa, Cnidaria, Anthozoa, Malacalcyonacea, Plexauridae. The record is from the annotation of a GenBank genome assembly.